Non-coding RNA from Schistosoma mattheei, 45 nucleotides. The record is from Rfam. NCBI's taxonomy places the organism in Eukaryota, Metazoa, Platyhelminthes, Trematoda, Strigeidida, Schistosomatidae.
GUCCAUCUGAUCAGUCUCAAACAGGAGGAAACACGCGUCAUGGAU